Molecule: long non-coding RNA, 5269 nt
Filed under: Homo sapiens (human)
Lineage: Eukaryota; Metazoa; Chordata; Mammalia; Primates; Hominidae
Description: HSALNT0209913
Source: RNAcentral
CGAUGAGUGGGGGGUAUGGUGUCUCAUUGUCCGGAUGCUGUGAUCUGAAAACAACAACAGUAACAACAACAAAAACUCAAGAAACAGGAAUGCAAGCUCUACAUUUUGUUAAACUAAGGACAUUUCUUACUCGUAACAAUCAGAUAUAAAAAAGUGCUGCCACAGGGGCAAGAAUGAUGCUCAGAAGGUCUUUAAUGGCUACAAAUCUUGGAUUAAGCUGACUGAGCAGUUCUUACACCGAGAAGCAAAACAACAACCUUUUGUUUCAAGAAACAGUUUCCCUUGGAAUCCAGUCACCAUGCUGUGAGGAAAUCAAAGCCAAAGGGAAGUUUCACAUGAAGAGCAAUCAAGUCGUUUAGCCCUCAGCCUGAUGACCACCCUACUGACUGCUGCCCGUAGAUUAUAUUGCCACCAUGGAAGAGGAGGAGCUGGAAGGAGAUUCUGAAGCCUUGGGACAAAGCUGGUGCUGCGGCAGUCAGAGCAGAGAGACAGAAUGAUGCCACUGAUUGCUGUGCUUUUGGAGACUGUUCUACUUCUGAAUUUCCAAUUCAGUGAAAUAAUGCCUGUCCUCAUUUAUUAGCCUUUUAGAGUUGGGUUUUCUGGUUUGCUUUGUUUAAAGUAUUCAAAAUGGCACAUACUUCUACUUAGCUUUAAUGUUUCUUCUUUUUAUUUAUCUUAGGCUCUGCUGCUGUCCUGUCCAUAAGGUUAUUUGUUGGUAAAAUAUUAAACUACAGGAAACAUAACAGCCUCAGAAAAGCAUGACUCAACAUGAGCCUGGGACAACUCAGGGUCUCUCUACUGUGCACAGCAUUUGUUCUGCUUUCAAGGCUCCCCACAGCAUCUGAAGCUUUACAUCCCUGGAGGCAACUGCCCAUAUGUUUACCUUUAUUACCAACUGCAGUUUCCAGGCAUCUGCUAAAUUACAAUUUUGAGUGCUUAAUGGUGAUUUCAUUUGUGUAAAAAAAAAGCGGGGAGACUCUUUGCCCCUCAUUAACUUAGAAUGGCAUUGCACCACACCGUAGAGCUGGCAUAUAGGUAUAUUGAAAGAAGUGGGUAGAGCUAAGAGGAUUAGAAGCUUAUGUGUGCCGUGAGGAGGUAAGAAUCAGGUUGUGUUCAUGUGUGUUUAUGUCCUUUCUUGGAACAAUAAAGUAAACAGAUUUUCUCCUCUGAGAGAAAGAAAGUUUCAAUAAUAUAGAAAUAGCUUUGCCCCUAUCUAGGGCCCUUAUGUCUUUUUAACCCCAAGGGGCAUAUCACAGAGUGUAUAGGAGAAUAUGGCAAUAUAUCAAAGGCGAUAAAGGCCACAGAGCUACAGAUGUUCCCCCAUCCUAUGCAAGCUGCUUCUCUAUAGAGCCUUCCAUUCUGCAAAGCUUCCAGCUUGUUCUGUCAUAGCACCUGAUUAGACAGCCGUGCCUCCAACACUCUUGGCUGUCCUUUCUUUCCUUGGUUAACUUCUCUUGUCAGUGCAGUUGAGUUAUCAACAUGGUAUAAGUGUUACAUCAAUACCAUUUCAGAAAUAAAACACUAGCCAUGCAAAGGCUGAAGCAAAUUGUUUUCCAACUAAAUGCUGGCAGCCUGCUCUUAUAGAUUAAGACCAGGUUUCUCCACAAAGCACUGAAGCAGCAAAUUUAAAAGGAGGCAAAUAGAACAUAGACUAUAUAGCAACAGAGAUAAAACAGUUCAUUACCUAGCUAAUGUUUGCAUUUUUCUGCUUUAGAGCAUGUAAAAAAUUAGAGAUAACAAAAUGACACUUAAUAGACGCUGGACAUGUAGAGGGAAAUGUAGCUUUUAAAGACAUUUUUCUUCUAUUCCUGGCAAAAGUAAGCGAGGGAAAGGUGAAUGUAGCAGGUACAAAUCACACAGGCAGAAAAUACAGAGGAAAGACCUAAAGCCUAACUCAAUUCUAUGGAUUUUAAUUAUGGAAAUCUGGCCAAGUCACUCCCCUCCUUGCAGGGAUUGUUAUUACUUUAUUAUGAAAAAAUUGAAACAGUUGUCUUCUCUACUGCACAGGGUUGUGGCAAAAACAAAAUGGCAUUGUGAAUGUAAAAGUUCAUUAAAAACUCUAAAAUGUGAUAGCAUAAUGUAAACCACUUUUUUUUUUUUUUUUUUUCCAAAACGGAGUCUCGCUCUGUCGCCCAGGCUGGAGUGCAGUGGCGCGAUUUCGGCUCACUGCAAGCUCCGCCUCCCAGGUUUACGCCAUUCUCCUGCCUCAGCCUCCCGAGUAGCUGGGACUACAGGCGCCCGCCACCAUGCCAGGCUAAUUUUUUGUAUUUUUUAGUAGAGACGGGGGUUUCACCAUGUUAGCCAGGAUGGUCUCGAUCUCCUGACCUCGUGAUCCGCCUGCCUCGGCUUCCCAAAGUGCUGGGAUUACAGGCGUGAGCCACCGUGCCCGGCCAAACCACUUUUUUUUUUUUUUUUUUUUUUUUACAUAAAGAUGCAUUACAAUUGAGUUUUCAAUCUCAUGACACAAGAGUCACAAAGACACAGAACAUUUAGCUGACACUGAGAUAGUUAUGAUUCACAAAGACAUUUUAGAAACUAUUGAAUUCAUCUACAGCUACAGUCCAUACAGCUCUCUGCCAGGGAGUUUUUCUGCCUGCAUUUGGACAUGUACUGUGACAGAGAGUUCAGCAUUUAUUUGUUUGAGUCCAACCUCUCCUCUCUGCAGUGAGCUGGAUCAUGCCAUGCAUAAAGCAUGGGGUCUUCUAAGAAAAGGGCGCAAGUCCUUGCUUUGCCACUUAAUAUUUUUCUAAUACCGAGCAAGUUACUCUCAGAUACCACUGCCUCAUUUAUAAAAGUUUGAUAAUAAUGCUACACAUGUCAAAGGGUUAUCAUAGGGUUAGAAAAGUCCAUUUCAGAUGCUAGUUAUUAUUUUGAAGUGAGAAUUCAUUGUAUCUUAAGAAAUAUGUUAUAUUUGUUGACUGAACACAGGCAGCAAUAACAGAGUGCUAUAGAUAAUAUGUGUCAUUCAUAUUCAAAUACCUCUCAUAAAUGUUAUCUUUUAGAAAAUAUGUUAUUAGCCCUCAGAAAUAAUAAAGGAUUACACAUGAACUCUGGAUCCCCUCAACACAGCUUAAUAAAAAGCCACUGUGCUUUUUCUUUUAAAACAGAAAAAGAAACGUGUUUGGAUAUCAAUGAUCUUCAGUAACUCAUAGAAUAGAGCAUAGGCUGGGCCUGUGUAAUGGCUCAGGCCUGUAAUCCCAGCUCUUUGGGAGGCUGAGGCAGGAGGAUGGCUUGAGCCCAGGAGUUCAAGACCAGCUGGGUCAACAAAGUAAGACCUCGUCUCAACAAAAAAAUUAAAAAGUUAGCCAGAUGUAGUGGUGUGUGCCUGUGGUCCCAUCUACUAGGGAGGUGAGGUAGGAGGAUCGCUCAGGCCUGCAGUGAGCCGUGAUUGCACUACUGCACUCCAGCUUAGGUGACAGAGACAGCCCCUGUCUCAAAAAAAAAAAAGAAUAGAACAUUGGCUAGUAAUCUAAUCGGUGCUAAAGGCAUUUGGCAUUACCAGGCACCAGGCACAGGCUGGAGUAAGACAAAAUUGUCAUGUUUUGACAUGUCAUGAGACAAAAUUUAUCCUUGCCAUUUUCUAGGCUCUUGCCUUUCUCCUGAUUUUCCCUGCAUAGGUCAGACUCCUCACCUUCCCACUGCAUUUUCUUCACUCUUCUUAGAAAAGGGGAUUCUCUUGUUCUUCAUUAGGUGCUUCAACUGAUUUAAUGAGCAUCAACUAAUUUCACUUGUUUGUGUUUGGGUCAUUCACUUUUCAAAGUGUUCAUUCAGUUACUUCAUCCAUAAAAUGGUGACAAUGACAUCACAGCUUUGUUUAAUAAUUAAAUAAGACAAUCUGUGUAAAGCAUUUAUCAUAUUGUCCCACACAUAGUAAAGUUCAAUGAUUUCAUAGAUAUAAUUACAAUAUCAUAAUUAAGAUAAAGUUUUACAUUAUACUUUCAAAAGUUAGAUUUCCAAAUAGAAAUAGCUUGAGAGCUGGAAUGACUGUAUUUGAAACUCAGAUUUAUCAGUUACUAGUUGUGUGGCAUUAGGCACUGUUUCAACCUUGAUUUUCAGUUUUUAUAUGAUGGGAAAUAUAGUUAAUCAUUUAACUACUGCUAUUGUGAGGAUUAGGUGGGAAAGCCCUGGUCAAAGACUUGGCACUGAAAACAUUCAUAGUAAAUAAAUAUUAGCUAUUUGUUAUUAUUGUAGUAGUUUAGGAACAAUUUCAUAUUAUGCUUUUUAAAAAAUGCAUACAAUGGGGAAUGUUGGUUUUCUAUUUUGCCUGUUACUAAAAGUUCAUGCAAAUAAUAAUGUCCAGAAGUUUAGGGGAAAGAAUAUUUCCACAAGAACGAAGAGAGAGAUUUCACUAAUUGUAACUAAGCUUUGUUCUUCCCGACCCUCUAUUUCUGCUUCCAGAAGCUGAGACUCAGGUUAGCAUCUCACUGUAUUUCUGUGAGGAGGAGAUAUUGGUGCAAGAUCUCAAGCAGACAAGCAAAAUCCAUCCCUAUCCAACAACUCCUACCUAUUGAGCAAAUGAUUUAAAAAGUGGUUACUGUGCCAUCAGAAAAACUGUUGGGGAUUGAUGUGUCUCUUUUUGUUGAACUGGCUGAGUAGAUAAGUACACAGAAUAACUUAUACCAUCACUUUAUAUUUACGCUUACCUAAUAUGAUAUUGUUAUAGCUGUCUUGUGAAAUCAAGUUGUUUUCAGCUUGCUUCUGUCAUUCUUCCUUCUUCUUUGUGAUUAAAUAGAAACAAAUGAUGUAAAAUAUGUGCUGUUUUCUUUACUCUUCCUAACUUAUGUAGGUGGGAUGGGUAGCCUUUAUUAUCUUGGCAAACAUAGUGCAGGGAUAACUUGCAUUGUUGAAUUGAGUAGUAUAAUAGUGACAAUGCUAAAAACUCAGUGAUAGUUCAGGACUAACCACUGAAUAUUUGUUAUACAAUAUCUCAAAGUUCUCAGCUGGAUUAUGACAUUAUUUUAUUUAAAAUUUUCUAAUAUUUAAUAUGUCUUUUUUCUACAUUAUUUAAAUUGUUUUUGUAUUCUUUUUUGGUUUUAAAACAUAAUGAAUAAGAACAUAAAAUAAAACAUACAAAAAGAUUUAACUGCUUAAACAUAAUGCAAAUUUGAGACAUAUUCAUGUAAUUGAUGGUCUCUAAGCAAGUAAUAGUUGAUUAAAUUGUUUGUAAUUUGUAGAAAAAUAAAUGCACCAAAAUGUUUGUAUGCUAUAUAUUGAAAUAUUAUUUUAUUAUUUCAUUCAUGCUUAUUCAUUGAAGACUAGGAGUGAUAUC